Molecule: long non-coding RNA, 394 nt
Organism: Syngnathus acus (greater pipefish)
Lineage: Eukaryota; Metazoa; Chordata; Actinopteri; Syngnathiformes; Syngnathidae
Exons: 3
Source: RefSeq, a predicted model, not a curated record
GCACAUAAAUAUGUUGCCCGGACACAGAGCGGGCGCGCUUCUUCCUAGUCAGGGCGAUGGCCGUGACGCUGCCCGGAGUAAAAGAACGAAGAUGGAUUUUGCAUUCUUUUUGAGAUUGAACCAAAAUCUACUAAGACGAGUUUCCAGAGUCUUCGAAUUGGACUUUGUCAAAUUUUAAGCUUCGAGGAAGGCAGAGGAGACAGCCGCCCCGGGCAGAAAGGAGAAGUCGCCAAUUUUACUUUUUUGGCUAGGCUCCUCACGGCCAGACCUUUCCUCUUUUUUAAACAGAAUUCGGAUUUUGGAACAAAGGAGAGCCGAUCACUCGACUUGUUCAACCAAAUAGGAUUUUAGACCUUAAGUCUCCUCUCUUGUUCUGUCUGGUUCUCACUGUCUG